AGCGAACGCUGGCGGCAGGCCUAACACAUGCAAGUCGAACGAACCUUUCGGGGUUAGUGGCGGACGGGUGAGUAACCCGUGGGAACGUGCCUUUAGGUUCGGAAUAACUCAGGGAAACUUGUGCUAAUACCGAAUGUGCCCUUCGGUGGAAAGAUUUAUCGCCUUUAGAGCGGCCCGCGUCUGAUUAGCUAGUUGGUUGAGGUAAUGGCGUACCAAGGCGACGAUCAGUAGCUGGUCUGAGAGGAUGAUCAGCCACAUUGGGACUGAGACACAGCCCAAACUCCUACGGGAGGCAGCAGUGGGGAAUCUUGCGCAAUGGGCGAAAGCCUGACGCAGCCAUGCCGCGUGAAUGAUGAAGGUCUUAGGAUUGUAAAAUUCUUUCACCGGGGACGAUAAUGACGGUACCCGGAGAAGAAGCCCCGGCUAACUUCGUG
RNAcentral lists this ribosomal RNA (434 nucleotides) under uncultured bacterium. Its description in RNAcentral is "partial 16S ribosomal RNA". It matches the Rfam family "Bacterial small subunit ribosomal RNA", at positions 29 to 507 of the family's 1533-position model. The record is from RNAcentral.